AAGUGCCUCGAAAGAGAACCGUAACACAGGGUGCUGCAUGGCUGCUCGUCAGCUCGUGUCGUGAGAUGUUGGGUUAAGUCCCGCAACGAGCGCAACCCUUGCCAUUAGUUGCUACAUUCAGUUGGGCACUCUAAUGGGACUGCCGGUGACAAACCGGAGGAAGGUGGGGAUGACGUCAAGUCCUCAUGGCCCUUAUGGGUAGGGCUUCACACGUAAUACAAUGGUAGGUACAGAGGGUAGCCAACCCGCGAGGGGGAGCCAAUCCCAGAAAGCCUAUCGUAGUCCGGAUUGUAGUCU
RNAcentral lists this ribosomal RNA (297 nucleotides) under uncultured bacterium. Its description in RNAcentral is "partial 16S ribosomal RNA". It matches the Rfam family "Bacterial small subunit ribosomal RNA", at positions 1010 to 1306 of the family's 1533-position model. The record is from RNAcentral.